UGGGGAAUUUUGGACAAUGGGCGAAAGCCUGAUCCAGCCAUGCCGCGUGAGUGAAGAAGGCCGUCGGGUUGUAAAGCUCUUUUAGUCGGAAAGAAAGAGUUGCAAUGAAUAAUUGUGAUUUAUGACGGUACCGACAGAAAAAGCACCGGCUAACUACGUGCCAGCAGCCGCGGUAAUACGUAGGGUGCGAGCGUUAAUCGGAAUUACUGGGCGUAAAGGGUGCGCAGGCGGUCUUGCAAGUCAGAUGUGAAAGCCCCGGGCUUAACCUGGGAAUUGCGUUUGAAACUACAAGGCUAGAGUGCAGCAGAGGGGAGUGGAAUUCCAUGUGUAGCAGUGAAAUGCGUAGAGAUGUGGAAGAACACCGAUGGCGAAGGCAGCUCCCUGGGUUGACACUGACGCUCACGCACGAAAGCGUGGGGAGCAAACA
This 427-nucleotide ribosomal RNA is filed under the name uncultured bacterium. RNAcentral describes it as "bacterial SSU rRNA". It matches the Rfam family "Bacterial small subunit ribosomal RNA", at positions 355 to 774 of the family's 1533-position model. The record is from RNAcentral.